RNAcentral lists this long non-coding RNA (309 nucleotides) under Capsella rubella. RNAcentral's name for it is "long non-coding RNA (CRUB_LNC004348)". The record is from RNAcentral. Lineage: Eukaryota; Viridiplantae; Streptophyta; Magnoliopsida; Brassicales; Brassicaceae.
AAAGCUGAAGUCCAUCCACAUUGCCAUCUUAAACUAUCUUCUAACUGGAAAAUAAAACUAUUUUAACAGUUUUGUCUAAUGGUUAUCAAAUCAGUCCAUUGCUAUGCCGCAAGGGCAAAACCAUAAAUUUCUCUAACUAGUGAUUAGUGAUUACUGAUUACACCAUUAGAUUAAAAGAACCUUGACUUGUGUUAGUAAAAGAAAAAGAAAAAAACACAAAAUUGGGUAAUAAUAAUACAAAUCUCUGCAGAAUAAAAACAAAACAAAACCCAAAAAUUCCACUUUUGCUCUUUUGCUCUCUCCCUCCCU